ACUAUUUUGGCAGAUAAGUGCGUUAGAUUUAGAAUCUAUAAAUGUAAAGUUUGGCUUUAUAGGUAGUA
This 68-nucleotide transfer RNA is filed under the name Parrhinotermes microdentiformis. RNAcentral describes it as "tRNA-Leu". Lineage: Eukaryota; Metazoa; Arthropoda; Insecta; Blattodea; Rhinotermitidae. The record is from RNAcentral.